AGGUGUUAGGAAAUAAAUAUUUUAAAAAAUGCUGGUAAAAUUUAUAAACAUUACUAACAAAGUUUAAAUACAUAUUAACAGGAUCAUUCAAAUGCUCUUGUAGAGUAUCCCUAUAAUGCAGUGGUCUUUGAAUAUAUGUCAGAAUACAAGGACAUUUGAUAAAAUUUGGGAUCUUUUCAUGUGGCUCUGGAGAACUUACAGUGAUCGCCUAUGCUCGACAGUGAAUACAUGUGACAAAUUGCUGUCCAGCCCAUCUGUUAUGUGAUGGUUGUCAUGUGUUUGUCUCAGUAACCUAGGGUAUUAUUUUCUAUAAUCAGUGGGGUCAGUGAGAAAUUAUUAAAACCAUUUAUAACACAAGCAGAAGUAUGAGUCAUAUUUUCAGAACCAACAGUUGUUGAUGGCCUUUGGCUCAUGUCAUCACAAACUUAUGAGUUAUACCAUGUGUUGUCAUCUCUUCCCACACAUAAAAAUUCUCAUUACAUAGAGAGAAAUGGUUUAUAAACUGUGCCAUGCAUGGCACUCAUCUACCAUUAAGGUCGUAAAAACAGCGUACCUUAACCAUUCAGCAUUGAGACCUGAUUACUAAGAGUCAGGCUGUAGCUUUAUGGUAACUGCAUUUACUCUGGUCACCAUUAUUAUUUGUAUUGGUCACCAUGUACAUAGAACCAUUGUACAAUCCUGGGAGAUGACCAGGCAUAGUUUCUUGUAAAGUUGCAGAAAGCAAGUAGACACAUAACUUGGGGAGAAUUAAAGGAAUCCCCUAGUUAGAUUCAGUUGUCUAACAGGGGCUAUUGUGCAGGCAAGAUGGUGUAUUUGUCUGUCUCCUGUGUGCGGCUUCCUCAGCAGCCCUAUGUUUACCUUCUGAUGAGGUUUCAAUCUAUGGUGCUGGCACUGAUGAGUGUAGAGGGAAGGAGCAUUUGGCAUCAACCUAUCAUAAUGCAUGAGAAAAAUCUAACUCAACAGGUUCUUCCCAAGAAAAAAGACUAUAAUGUUUGUGGGCUUUCCUUAGUACUGCUGCUUGAUCACAAAAGUGGAUAUGGCAUCUACUUUUAUAGGCUACUAAUUACUGAAAUAAUAGUAAUUGCAUUGACAUAAGAAAUUGGUAAACUAAUAAGUCUCAGAUUUGAAAAUUCAAUGCCCUUAAGUCAAGAACAGGUUCAACCAGAUUAAAAUGAGGUGUUUCUUCAAAUAACAACAUACCUGAAGUGGUAUGGUACAACUGGAGGAGGUAGAAAUUGGGGAAUGUCUUUGGCUAUAUAGAUUUUUCUAUCUGCUUUUUGAUCAUCAUGAUGUAAGCUGCUUUGCUCUACCACACUCUCCCACCAUGAUGUUUAGCCUCACCUCAAGCCUCAUGGAAUGGAGCCAGCCUUCUAUGGACUAAGACCUCUGAAACCAUGAACCCGGAAAUAAACUUGCCUAUUCCAUGAUUGUUCUGGAUGGGUCCUUUAGUCACAGUAGUGAAAAAUCUAACUAAAACAAGGUCAUAGUUUUUAAGUAAUCUAGGUAUAUUGUAAGAAUUAAAUUAGGUGAAUAUAAAUGUUUACAAGUUACAUAAUUAACUUACCCUUGUGUUACAACAAGUAAUUGAAACUUAUAUAAGUUAUUUCUGAGUUAAAAUACUGAGUUUUAAUUGUUAAAAAUGAGGAUAAAAUCACCUAAUAUUGACUUUUAAAAAAUUUUAUAAAAAUAUAUUUUAUUUUAUUAUUACAAUACAGAAUGAAAUGGCACCUUAUAAAUUUCUGAUCUUUGUAGGAUUGUAGCUGUGUCACUUAAUUGCUAGUGUGAGUAUAGGUUAAUAUGUCACUUCACUGCUGUUUGAACUAUAACUUUUUAAGCAUGGCUUUGUUUGAAAUAUAGAUUCUAGGAAUGUAUGCUUGCAGAUAUCUUGAGAAAUUGCUCCAUGUGGUAAUGACCACUUCCAGAUAUCACUUGCAGAUUUUUCUCUGCCUUUGUUCUGCUGCUGUAAACUGUUUAUUGCAAGAACUUCCACUCAUGGUUUUUGGUCAUGAAUUCAAACCCACCAAUGUUGUAAUGGUUAAGAAAGAAUGUCGAUUUUUUUCUAUAAAAGCCCUGUAUAACCUCAGCUUGGGACCCAGAAUUUCAGAGCUCAUCCGGGUCUUCUGAUGUAAUAAACCUGAGUUUUCCUACCA
Ictidomys tridecemlineatus (thirteen-lined ground squirrel) is the source of this 2150-nucleotide non-coding RNA. Lineage: Eukaryota; Metazoa; Chordata; Mammalia; Rodentia; Sciuridae. The record is from RefSeq and is a predicted model, not a curated record.